GACGAACGCUGGCGGCGUGCUUAACACAUGCAAGUCGAACGAUGAAGAGGAGAAACGCGCACUUCGGUUCAAAUUUCACUUCGGAUUAGUGGCAGACGGGUGAGUAACGCGUGAGCAACCUACCUCUUACAAAGGGAUAGCCUCGGGAAACCGUGAUUAAUACCAUAUGACACAUUCAUAAGGCAUCUUAAGAAUGUUAAAGCUACGGCGGUAAGAGAUGGGCUCGCGUCCCAUUAGCUAGUUGGUGAGGUAACGGCCCACCAAGGCGACGAUGGGUAACCGGCCUGAGAGGGUGAACGGUCACAUUGGAACUGGGACACGGUCCAAACUCCUACGGGAGGCAGCAGUGGGGAAUAUUGCACAAUGGAGGGAACUCUGAUGCAGCGACGCCGCGUGAGCGAUGAAGGAAUUCGUUUCGUAAAGCUCUGUUCUAUGGGAAGAAAAGGACUGUACCAUAGGAGAAAGCCCCGGCUAAAUACGUG
This 482-nucleotide ribosomal RNA is filed under the name uncultured bacterium. RNAcentral's name for it is "partial 16S ribosomal RNA". It matches the Rfam family "Bacterial small subunit ribosomal RNA", at positions 28 to 507 of the family's 1533-position model. The record is from RNAcentral.